UACGUAGGGGGCGAGCGUUGUCCGGAAUCAUUGGGCGUAAAGAGCGUGUAGGCGGCCCGGUCAGUCUGGUGUGAAAUCUUGAGGCUCAACCUCAAGCUGUCAUCGGAUACUGCCGGGCUAGAAUCCGGAAGAGGAGAGUGGAAUUCCUGGUGUAGCGGUGGAAUGCGCAGAUAUCAGGAGGAACAUCCGUGGCGAAGGCGGCUCUCUGGUACGGUAUUGACGCUGAGACGCGAAAGCGUGGGGAGCGAACAGG
This 253-nucleotide ribosomal RNA is filed under the name uncultured bacterium. RNAcentral's name for it is "partial 16S ribosomal RNA". It matches the Rfam family "Bacterial small subunit ribosomal RNA", at positions 524 to 776 of the family's 1533-position model. The record is from RNAcentral.